CCUACUCCUACGGGAGGCAGCAGUAGGGAAUCUUCCACAAUGGACGCAAGUCUGAUGGAGCAACGCCGCGUGAGUGAAGAAGGUUUUCGGAUCGUAAAGCUCUGUUGUUGGUGAAGAAAGAUAGUGAGAGUAACUGCUCAUUAUUUGCCGGUAAUCAACCAGAAAGUCACGGCUAACUACGUGCCAGCAGCCGCGGUAAUAA
This 202-nucleotide ribosomal RNA is filed under the name uncultured bacterium. RNAcentral describes it as "partial 16S ribosomal RNA". It matches the Rfam family "Bacterial small subunit ribosomal RNA", at positions 332 to 526 of the family's 1533-position model. The record is from RNAcentral.